GCAUGUAUACUGCCCAUUUUCGGUCUUUCUGUACACCUGUUUUCAAUUUUCAGCUCGUAUAAAAUUGUUGUUGACUCGAUGGAGAAGAUGUUGGGUUUCUUCCCAACCCGUGAUGCAAGGAGAGUAACGAAGGGAGUCCAAUGGACUCGAACCGAGAGGGUUCAUGCAAGAAAAGAAGGAUAAAGAUUAACUAGAGAUAACUUCAAGAGGCAACCAUAUUUUAGUUAGAAUUAACCACGAUAAGAAUCAUUCUUACCCCUUGUAGAUUAUCAUAAAUAAUAGGUAGAAUGAACUCCCUUUGAAAUAAUAUUAGUUCAUAUGGGCGUAAUGUUAAAUCAUCUAAUAGGUUCAAUAGACAUAACUAAAACAAUCUAGACAUUCAACUCAAUUGUAGACAAUCAAAAUAAUAUCACAUGCGUAUGAAAUAAAUAUUAUGUAGAGUACAAAUCAUUCUUAACCAAUAUGUUGUUACAUACAAUUUACAACAAGGCUUUAGACUUUAAUAUUACAUGUAUCAGGUAUUGUAACCAGUGAAGGCAAUAUUAAACAUAUAAAGAAGAAUGAAGGCUGGCAGCCCUCUCCUAGGUAACAUGGAAAUUAUUUGGUCCUCUUGAAUGCCCAGAAAAGCCAUUAGAAGACACAAUACAAAAUUUAUAGGCCACACUUAAUAUAUUACAAGAAAACAAUGUGUUAUAGACCAUAAACCAUCAAGGAAGAAAAGAGACUAUAAUUGUGGUCGUGUUCACGCUAUCAAGAUGUAUUGCAAUGUAUUAUUCGAACUUAAAAAUCACACCUUCCAGCCCGAUGAUUCCAAGAUAAUAACACGAGCAUUAUGAAAAAGAUAUAACUUAUCCCAUUUAAGCUAAGCAAGAGGAUAAUUUAAGAAGCAAAAUAAGAAGAGGAUGAACACCUUAUGCAAGUUUAGUCCUUUGCAAGACUCAUGCUAAAUCAACAGAAGAUGUUAAUUGGUAUUCAAUUAUUCAUUCAGCAAAUUAAGGACUUAAACCGGAUAUAUGAUGAGUAGAGAAAUUUAAUGGAAGGCUACAAACUCAAAAGGGGAAUAUUGUAGAUCAAAGUCGGGAGCAGAGAUCAAAUACAUUAAUCACAUGAGAUUAGGCUAAUAUUCAAUACUUCCUCUUCAAGAAUAGUAGGACAAACAUAGGGCCAAAAAUAAGAUCUUCUUGAGUUAGUCAAUACUUAAGCUAACAGAGAUAAAUUAAAUAGACAAGGAUUGACUACAUAAUUUCAAAUCACCUAGCAAAUUAACUAAAAAACAAUACAAACUGAUUCAAAUUAAGAUGAACUAAAAAAAACUAAACAAACUAUAAUAUUAAACGAGCAUAAUACCAUAAAUGAAUCAAAGCAUCAUAUACACAAAGAACAAAACUACAGAAUAUUACCUCUUCCGGAGCAGCGACCGAAGACAACUAGAUUGAGAGGACAGAGGUUCUUCCACCACAAAAGCCAAGUAUGAAUAGCAAACCAAGAGAAUCUGAGUGGCGACCUUCUCGGAAACUUAGAACAAGAGAGCUAAACAUAAAAUUUUAAGUGUAAAGUCACUAUUGCCAAAGAACUCAAACUAGAAAAAAAACUUCUUUUUUUUUUGGCGCCCCCCCUUUAAACACAUAGAGAAAACGAUCUUAAAUAGAUGAAGAAUAGGGUUGAUUUUUUUUUA
Molecule: long non-coding RNA, 1675 nt
Filed under: Solanum tuberosum (potato)
Lineage: Eukaryota; Viridiplantae; Streptophyta; Magnoliopsida; Solanales; Solanaceae
Description: long non-coding RNA (STUB_LNC010017)
Source: RNAcentral